UACAGAGGUGGCAAGCGUUGUUCGGAAUUACUGGGCGUAAAGGGCGCGUAGGCGGCCUUCUAAGUCAGACGUGAAAUCCCCCGGCUUAACCUGGGAACUGCGUCUGAUACUGGGAGGCUUGAGUACGGCAGAGGGGGGUAGAAUUCCUGGUGUAGCAGUGAAAUGCGUAGAUAUCAGGAGGAAUACCGAUGGCGAAGGCAGCCCCCUGGGUCGAUACUGACGCUCAUGCACGAAAGCGUGGGGAGCAAACAGG
Molecule: ribosomal RNA, 253 nt
Filed under: uncultured bacterium
Lineage: Bacteria
Description: partial 16S ribosomal RNA
Rfam family: Bacterial small subunit ribosomal RNA
Source: RNAcentral